This 107-nucleotide non-coding RNA is filed under the name Cellulomonas gilvus. RNAcentral describes it as "SAM-IV sequence". The stretch from base 1 to 79 matches the Rfam family "SAM (S-adenosyl methionine) riboswitch aptamer", at positions 1 to 79 of the family's 116-position model. From Rfam's summary of the family: SAM-IV is a mRNA element that regulates gene expression via direct sensing of S-adenosylmethionine (SAM or AdoMet). SAM-IV riboswitches share conserved nucleotide positions with the previously described SAM-I riboswitches sequence analysis and molecular recognition experiments suggest that SAM-I and SAM-IV riboswitches share similar ligand binding sites, but have different scaffolds. Lineage: Bacteria; Bacillati; Actinomycetota; Actinomycetes; Micrococcales; Cellulomonadaceae. RNAcentral also lists the same sequence under 1 other name. The record is from RNAcentral.
GGUCAUGAGCGUCUCCGCCAAGCCCCGGCUGGGAGACCGGCAACCCUCCGUCCGUGGCGGGGUGCCCCGGGUGACGACCAGGCCGUCGUGCGCCGCGGGCGCCUACA